UGGGGAAUCUUGCGCAAUGGCCGAAAGGCUGACGCAGCGACGCCGCGUGUGGGAUGAAGCAUUUCGGUGUGUAAACCACUGUUGCCCGGGACGAACAUCCUCUUUCGAGAGGACUGACGGUACCGGGUGAGGAAGCACCGGCUAACUCCGUGCCAGCAGCCGCGGUAAUACGGAGGGUGCGAGCGUUGUCCGGAAUCACUGGGCGUAAAGGGCGCGUAGGUGGCCCGUGGAAGUCUGCGGUGAAAGCCCGGCGCUCAACGCCGGGUCGGCCGUGGAUACUCUCGGGCUUGAGCUUACUAGAGGCAGAUGGAAUUCCGGGUGUAGCGGUGGAAUGCGUAGAGAUCCGGAAGAACACCGGUGGCGAAGGCGGUCUGCUGGGGUAAUGCUGACACUGAUGCGCGACAGCGUGGGGAGCAAACA
This 420-nucleotide ribosomal RNA is filed under the name uncultured Gemmatimonas sp. RNAcentral describes it as "bacterial SSU rRNA". It matches the Rfam family "Bacterial small subunit ribosomal RNA", at positions 355 to 774 of the family's 1533-position model. Lineage: Bacteria; Pseudomonadati; Gemmatimonadota; Gemmatimonadia; Gemmatimonadales; Gemmatimonadaceae. The record is from RNAcentral.